UUUGAAUCGAUUUAUGAUGAUGAUAUAUAUCUCACAUUCGUUUUUUUUUAUUGGUAAAAGCAAAACCAAUCAUGCAAGACUCCGUUAUCAUCAUUCAUUCAUUCAUAGUUUUUUCCCGAUUAUGAUUAUGGAAUAAAAUGACCUUCCUUGCCGUACAAAACGGACAUUUAUAUGCCCAUCAAAUGUGUGCAUUUGUGAAAGUAAAGAGAAUGAAUGGGAUUUGUGUUACCUGUUAAAUUUCUAAUGAUGAUGAUGAUGAAGAAGAGAGAUUGGUGGUACCCACCAGCACCAACCAUCAUGCGGAAAUCACACCACAAAUUCAACGAUUUAAGUAUAUACAAAUAAAUCAUGAAAAAAAAAUGAGAGAAGAAGAAAGACUGGAAUAAAGUCAAAUUCUAAAAUGGAUGUA
Non-coding RNA from Dermatophagoides farinae (American house dust mite), 409 nucleotides. The record is from RefSeq and is a predicted model, not a curated record. NCBI's taxonomy places the organism in Eukaryota, Metazoa, Arthropoda, Arachnida, Sarcoptiformes, Pyroglyphidae.